RNAcentral lists this ribosomal RNA (432 nucleotides) under uncultured bacterium. RNAcentral's name for it is "partial 16S ribosomal RNA". It matches the Rfam family "Bacterial small subunit ribosomal RNA", at positions 29 to 506 of the family's 1533-position model. The record is from RNAcentral.
AACGAACGCUGGCGGCAUGCCUAACACAUGCAAGUCGAACGAGACCUUCGGGUCUAGUGGCGCACGGGUGCGUAACGCGUGGGAACCUGCCCUUAGGUUCGGAAUAACUCCCCGAAAGGGGUGCUAAUACCGGAUAAUGUCUUCGGACCAAAGAUUUAUCGCCUUUGGAUGGGCCCGCGUUGGAUUAGCUAGUUGGUAGGGUAAAAGCCUACCAAGGCGACGAUCCAUAGCUGGUCUGAGAGGAUGAUCAGCCACACUGGGACUGAGACACGGCCCAGACCCCCCCGGGAGGCCGCAGUGGGGAAUUUUGGACAGGGGGCGAACGCCUGACCCAGCAUUGCCGGGUGAGUGAUGAAGGCUUUGGGGUUGUAAAGCUCUUUUACCCGGGAUGAUAAUGCCGGUACCGGGAAAAUAAGCCCCGGCUAACCCCGU